Non-coding RNA from Collybia nuda, 85 nucleotides. Lineage: Eukaryota; Fungi; Basidiomycota; Agaricomycetes; Agaricales; Clitocybaceae. The record is from the annotation of a GenBank genome assembly.
UCGGGUAUGGUGUAACGGCUAACAUUGCCGCCUCUCAUCUUACAGCAGACCGCGGCAGCUCGGGGUUCGAUUCCCCGUACCCGAA